CAGAGGGUGCAAGCGUUGCUCGGAAUCAUUGGGCGUAAAGGGUAGGUAGGAGGUCUCAUUUGUCAGGGGUGAAAGCCUUGGGCUUAACCAAGAAGUGCCCCUGAAACGGUGAGACUAGAGUCUUGGAGAGGGUCGUGGAAUUCCCGGUGUAGCGGUGAAAUGCGUAGAGAUCGGGAGGAACACCAGAGGCGAAAGCGGCGGCCUGGACAAGUACUGACACUCAACUACGAAAGCGUGGGGAGCAAACAGGAUUAGAUACCCUGGUAGUCCACGCUGUAAACGAUGGGUACUAGGAUUGGUGGGUCUUGACCCCUGCUGAUCCGGAGCUAACGCACUAAGUACCCCGCCUGGGAAGUACGGUCGCAAGACUA
Molecule: ribosomal RNA, 371 nt
Filed under: uncultured organism
Description: bacterial SSU rRNA
Rfam family: Bacterial small subunit ribosomal RNA
Source: RNAcentral